RNAcentral lists this ribosomal RNA (253 nucleotides) under uncultured bacterium. RNAcentral describes it as "partial 16S ribosomal RNA". It matches the Rfam family "Bacterial small subunit ribosomal RNA", at positions 524 to 776 of the family's 1533-position model. The record is from RNAcentral.
UACGGGGGGGGCAAGCGUUGUUCGGAAUUACUGGGCGUAAAGGGCUCGUAGGCGGCCAACUAAGUCAGACGUGAAAUCCCUCGGCUUAACCGGGGAACUGCGUCUGAUACUGGAUGGCUUGGGGUUGGGAGAGGGAUGCGGAAUUCCAGGUGUAGCGGUGAAAUGCGUAGAUAUCUGGAGGAACACCGGUGGCGAAGGCGGCAUCCUGGACCAAUUCUGACGCUGAGGAGCGAAAGCCAGGGGAGCAAACGGG